Non-coding RNA from Pelobates cultripes (western spadefoot toad), 285 nucleotides. The record is from the annotation of a GenBank genome assembly. NCBI's taxonomy places the organism in Eukaryota, Metazoa, Chordata, Amphibia, Anura, Pelobatidae.
GUGCAGUGUGUGUUUGUGCAGUGUGUGUUUGUGCAGUGUGUGUUUGUGCAGUGUGUGUUUGUGCAGUGUGUGUUUGUGCAGUGUGUGUUUGUGCAGUGUGUGUUUGUGCAGUGUGUGUUUGUGCAGUGUGUGUUUGUGCAGUGUGUAUGUAAUGCAGUGUGUGUGCCUGUGUAGUGUGUGUGUGUAUGUAAUGCAGUAUGUGUACUGUGUUUGUGUAGUGUGUAUGUAAUGCAGUGUGUGUGUAGUGUGUGUUUGUGGUGUGUGUAGUGUGUCUGUGUAGUGUGU